This 83-nucleotide transfer RNA is filed under the name Magnetospirillum fulvum MGU-K5. Its description in RNAcentral is "Phaeospirillum fulvum MGU-K5 tRNA-OTHER". Lineage: Bacteria; Pseudomonadati; Pseudomonadota; Alphaproteobacteria; Rhodospirillales; Rhodospirillaceae. The record is from RNAcentral.
AAUCAAUUAAAUCAAUUGCUUAGGUUAAGAUGCGCGGUUUCCUAAACCGUAGGUCAGGGGUUCGAAUCCCUUCCGGGACGCCA